This 253-nucleotide ribosomal RNA is filed under the name uncultured bacterium. RNAcentral's name for it is "partial 16S ribosomal RNA". It matches the Rfam family "Bacterial small subunit ribosomal RNA", at positions 524 to 776 of the family's 1533-position model. The record is from RNAcentral.
UACGUAGGGAGCAAGCGUUGUCCGGAAUCAUUGGGCGUAAAGCGCGCGUAGGUGGCCUCAUAAGUCCGCUGUGAAAGUCAAAGGCUCAACCUCGAGACGCCGGUGGAAACCAUCAGACUAGAGUCCGGAAGAGGAGAGUGGAAUUCCUGGUGUAGCGGUGGAAUGCGCAGAUAUCAGGAGGAACACCGAUGGCGAAGGCAGCUCGCUGGGACGGUACUGACGCUGAGGCGCGAAAGCGUGGGGAGCGAACAGG